This is a long non-coding RNA of Dendronephthya gigantea, 432 nucleotides long. RefSeq lists it as uncharacterized. The transcript has 4 exons. NCBI's taxonomy places the organism in Eukaryota, Metazoa, Cnidaria, Anthozoa, Malacalcyonacea, Nephtheidae. The record is from RefSeq and is a predicted model, not a curated record.
AAAUGCGUCACAGUAAUAUUGGAAAAUGAAUGAUUUUCAUUUUUAUAAUUUGUGAUAGGUUUGUCUCUUCAGAGGUAUUGAAUGCUAUAAUUGAAUAUACCAAGCUACAUCGUGGAGGAAUGCGGUAAAAGUUAUUUAAAAGUAUCUAUGCUUCAGCAAGAUGCAGUUGUGGCAAUCGAUAUAUUUGCAUCUCUUUGUAUGUGUUCUGGAAAUUGUGUCAUCAACAGGACAAGUUACAUUUGGAUUCCAAAGUUCAACCUACACCGUUGGUGAGGCAGAUGAUAAAUUGCAGGUUUGUCUUGGUGUUAGCAAUUUUGAUGGGACUUCCUUUUCAGGAACAUUAACAUUCAGAAAUGGCACUGCAACAAGCGGAGAAGAUUACAAAGUUUUAGUAGGUGAUGAGAAAUCUGUUGGAAUACAAAGUUUUAUUCA